ACUGCACCAGGAAGCUCGCAUCCGUGGCGACCAGCACCAAGCAGAACAAACCAGACCACAGGCCGAUCCACAGCCGAAACUCGAGCUCUGGCAAAUCCCCCGCACACGGCUGAUGCUCUCUGCAGGUGUCCGUCACAGCAGAGGCCAACGCAAGUACGGCUUCCACUGGACAGGCUGUCACCUAACAGAAACCGACGCGCACCUGAGAGGAGACGAAAACCUCAACCCUGGACUCCCAUGAGGAGAGGCUGAAAGCAGACAAACAGAGGGACAAAGCGCCAAGAACGCCGACGUGCCUCUCUCUUUAUGCGAGCCUUUAAGUGGAGGUUGGGUAAACAUGUUGGGCGUCUCAGUAAAUACAUGCGAGUGACUCUGGAUUCUUCUGUGGCUUCAGCAGACGGACAAUGGAAGGAUUAGAACGGCCCUCGUGUGCAAAAUGUCAUCUUAGAAGAAUUAGAGCCGUCAUUGAUGUAAGUUUCUGGGUCGAUACUUGCGGGAAGAUGACACGUUUUUCUCGGUAUGGCCACAGAGGCCGUGACAAGCGAGACUUUAAGAUCUGAACCAGCGGGACAACUGGCCAGAAAGCAGUA
Gambusia affinis (western mosquitofish) is the source of this 590-nucleotide long non-coding RNA. RefSeq lists it as uncharacterized. The record is from RefSeq and is a predicted model, not a curated record. Lineage: Eukaryota; Metazoa; Chordata; Actinopteri; Cyprinodontiformes; Poeciliidae. The transcript has 3 exons.